Panicum virgatum (switchgrass) is the source of this 487-nucleotide long non-coding RNA. RefSeq lists it as uncharacterized. The transcript has 3 exons. NCBI's taxonomy places the organism in Eukaryota, Viridiplantae, Streptophyta, Magnoliopsida, Poales, Poaceae. The record is from RefSeq and is a predicted model, not a curated record.
CACCGACGCACGCGCCACCGCCACCGUCCGGCGCCGCCGCCUUCUCGGCGUCCACUAGCCGCCUCGACCCCGCGCGGGAGCCUCCCCUGCCCGCGCCACCUCCCUACCUUCCCCGGCCGCACCGCCUACCUCCCUCCUCCGCCGUUUCCAGCCGCCGGCGCCGACCCGGCCCACGUACGCCUCCCCGCCGGCUAUCCUCCGCAAGGGCCGCCUCCUGACCACCACCCGGCGCCGCCUCCCCGCCCUUGUCGCCGUGAGGUGGAGCCAGCACCGCCGGUGCCCAGGCAAGUUUCUUCAUUACAAUACGACUGAACGUGUGACUCUUGAGAUUUUGUGAAUAUUGAAGCACCAUUCGAGGAAGGUCAGAUAUUGUAAAUGGAUAGCCUUCUUAAGCGGUGGUGGGACGAAGAGGAGGAAUCUGACGAUGAUGACCUCUUCCUGGCUGGUGCCGUUCUUACUGGAUUGAAAAGGAAGCAGAGCGAGAAGA